Molecule: ribosomal RNA, 253 nt
Filed under: uncultured bacterium
Lineage: Bacteria
Description: partial 16S ribosomal RNA
Rfam family: Bacterial small subunit ribosomal RNA
Source: RNAcentral
UACGAACUGUGCAAACGUUAUUCGGAAUCACUGGGCUUAAAGGGUGCGUAGGCGGUCAUUUAGGUAGGGUGUGAAAGCCCCCGGCUCAACCGGGGAAUUGCGCCCUAAACCGGGUGACUGGAGUGAGAUAGGGGUGUGUGGAACUUCCGGUGGAGCGGUGAAAUGUGUUGAUAUCGGAAGGAACGCCCGCGGCGAAAGCGCGUCCCUGGACCCCACCUGACGCUGAGACGCGAAAGCCAGGGGAGCGAACGGG